CAAACUAUAGCUUAAUUAAAGCAUCUUGCUUACACCAAGAAAAUGUCUUCUAAUCAGGACUAUUUUGACUCCACUG
RNAcentral lists this transfer RNA (76 nucleotides) under Eleutherodactylus sp. UPRRP6361. Its description in RNAcentral is "tRNA-Val". Lineage: Eukaryota; Metazoa; Chordata; Amphibia; Anura; Eleutherodactylidae. The record is from RNAcentral.